UUUCCGUAGGUGAACCUGCGGAAGGAUCAUUACUGAGUGAGGGCCCUCUGGGUCCAACCUCCCACCCGUGUUUAUUAUACCUUGUUGCUUCGGUGAGCCCGCCUCACGGCCGCCGGGGGGCAUCUGCCCCCGGGCCCGCGCCCACCGAAGACACCUAGAAUUCUGUAUGAAGAUUGCAGUCUGAGCAAAAACUAAAUAAGUUAAAACUUUCAACAACGGAUCUCUUGGUUCCG
This 233-nucleotide unclassified non-coding RNA is filed under the name plant metagenome. Its description in RNAcentral is "partial contains small subunit ribosomal RNA, internal transcribed spacer 1, and 5.8S ribosomal RNA". The record is from RNAcentral.